ACGGAAGGCAGCAGUGAGGAAUAUUGGUCAAUGGGCGGAAGCCUGAACCAGCCAAGUCGCGUGAAGGAUGAAGGUAUUAUGUAUUGUAAACUUCUUUAGCUGUGGAGCAAUAAUCGCCAUGCAUGGCGAGAUGAGAGUACACAGAGAAUAAGGAUCGGCUAACUCCGUGCCAGCAGCCGCGGUAAUACGGAGGAUCCGAGCGUUAUCCGGAUUUAUUGGGUUUAAAGGGUGCGCAGGCGGUUCUUUAAGUCAGUGGUUAAAUCGUGGGGCUCAACCCCAUCACGCCAUUGAUACUGGAGGACUUGAUUGCGGUUGAGGUAGGCGGAAUUCGUCGUGUAGCGGUGAAAUGCAUAGAUAUGACGAAGAACCCCGAUUGCGUAGGCAGCUUACCAAGCCGUAAAUGACGCUCAUGCACGAAAGUGCGGGGAUCGAACAGGAUUAGAUACCCUGGUA
RNAcentral lists this ribosomal RNA (453 nucleotides) under uncultured Porphyromonadaceae bacterium. RNAcentral's name for it is "partial 16S ribosomal RNA". It matches the Rfam family "Bacterial small subunit ribosomal RNA", at positions 341 to 792 of the family's 1533-position model. Lineage: Bacteria; Pseudomonadati; Bacteroidota; Bacteroidia; Bacteroidales; Porphyromonadaceae. The record is from RNAcentral.